GUGUUAGCUUUCAUAGCACAUAUAUUAAAAAAUUGGAAUAAUACUGAGAAGAUUAGCAUGACCCCUGCCCAAGGAUGACACACAAAUUUGUGAAGCCUUCCAUAUUUUA
This 109-nucleotide small nuclear RNA is filed under the name Bison bison bison. RNAcentral also lists the same sequence under 1 other name. Lineage: Eukaryota; Metazoa; Chordata; Mammalia; Artiodactyla; Bovidae. The record is from RNAcentral.